RNAcentral lists this transfer RNA (76 nucleotides) under Eubacterium sp. RNAcentral's name for it is "tRNA-His". It matches the Rfam family "tRNA". From Rfam's summary of the family: Transfer RNA (tRNA) molecules are approximately 80 nucleotides in length. Their secondary structure includes four short double-helical elements and three loops (D, anti-codon, and T loops). RNAcentral also lists the same sequence under 1 other name. Lineage: Bacteria; Bacillati; Bacillota; Clostridia; Eubacteriales; Eubacteriaceae. The record is from RNAcentral.
GGUGGUUAUAGCUCAGUUGGUUAGAGCGUCGGUUUGUGGCACCGAAGGUCGUGGGUUCGAGCCCCAUUCUCCACCC